CAGUCGCCGCGGGAACACGAAGGGUGCAAGCGUUACUCGGAAUUACUGGGCGUAAAGCGUGUGUAGGUGGUUGUUUAAGUCUGUCGUGAAAGCCCUGGGCUCAACCUGGGAAUUGCGAUGGAUACUGGGCGACUAGAGUGCGGUAGAGGAUAGUGGAAUUUCCGGUGUAGCAGUGAAAUGCGUAGAGAUCGGAAGGAACAUCUGUGGCGAAGGCGACUAUCUGGGCCAACACUGACACUGAGACACGAAAGCGUGGGGAACAAACAGGAUUAGAUACCCCUGUAGUCCCUGUCUCUUAUAC
RNAcentral lists this ribosomal RNA (301 nucleotides) under uncultured bacterium. RNAcentral's name for it is "partial 16S ribosomal RNA". It matches the Rfam family "Bacterial small subunit ribosomal RNA", at positions 509 to 807 of the family's 1533-position model. The record is from RNAcentral.